CAGGAGCUCUCAAUGAAACGGUGAUGCUAUUUAUAAGGCGCUGGGAGAUCGCAAUGUCCUGCUGAGCCGUUACCUGUGGUCAGCCUCCUUCUGGAAUAGAUGACCUUCCUUUUGAGAUACAGGCAGAAAGUCCGUAGCUUCUUCUCAAGGCACACCUCAUUCUCACAUCUCCUCAGGCAGUCCUGGGUUACAGUCCAGUAAGUCAAGUUCAGGGAACAUCAUGUUUAUCUGAGAGUGAAAAGAAGCCCGAACUAAAAAACACACAGACAAAAAAAGUAAGAAAUAAUUAUAAACGUGGAUAUAAAUAGUUGAGAAUUUGAUUUUUUUUUCUUACCUGGAGCAAUAAUUUGUAGCUUGUAACAUGAAGCAUAUUUUUACAGUACAUUUUAACAUGCAUAUAAUGGUUUCAAGCUUCCGUUUUGAAUGAGGCAUAUUUAUACUCCAAAUGCCACAUUUACUUAUGUGUUUCCAGUGUGUCUGAAUAUUUUGGGAAGGAAACAAAUAGGAUGAUUAUGUAAUUGCCACCAAUAUGUUUUGCGUUGCUUUGUUUCGCUUUUGAAAUAACAACCAUAUUAUACCAUAAGUGGCCGAUUCAGUAAGGAAGGCAACAGAUUAUUUGUUGCAUGUGCUGUAUGUGCCAGGCACUGUCACAGGCUCUGCCCUCAGAAUUCUGCCUCCAUAAAUUUUGUGGACUAAGGAGGGGAGCUAGCCAAAGAAACAAGCAGUUGCAAUGAGUUUAUGAAGGCAAGUGAAAACACAGUUAACUGCAGGGCAUCUAGGCAGGAGCACCUGGUCCAAGCUCAGGAAAUCAGAAAAGCCUUUGCAAAGGAGAUGACCAUGAAGCUAAGUCCCAAAGAAGAAUGGAAUUUCAUCAGGCAAAUUCUGUGGGCUGGGACUUUCCAGACAGAAGGAUAGCUGUGUAUGCAACGACCCUGAUCGAAGAGAAAGAAUGAAAAAAAGGUUGGAGAUAGCUGACAGCUCUCUGUCUCUCAGUCUUUUAUUUUCCUGCCAAUUCUGAUUCCCCAGCUGAAGAACCGCAUCUACGACUGUGUUCUCUCGAUGUUGACAGAAACUCAAAAUUCAAGUAAUUUUGCUGCAAGUUUCAGUCCAUUCUUGAUAACUCAGAUUCCAAGGUUGCAGGCAGCUUCAGGUCUCCAUAAAAGACUGGUCUC
Molecule: long non-coding RNA, 1172 nt
Organism: Mustela erminea (ermine)
Lineage: Eukaryota; Metazoa; Chordata; Mammalia; Carnivora; Mustelidae
Exons: 5
Source: RefSeq, a predicted model, not a curated record